AUGGUUCCCCGAGUUCCAAUAUGUGUUUCCCUUUUUUUAAAAAGUUACAUUAUAUUUAAAUGUAAAAAACAAUUAACGUUUUGUGAUAACAAUAAUAAAGCAGAAGAAAAGGUUUUUUUGUUAGGAGAUGAACGUUGUUUAAUUAAAGACACUAAACAAAAUGGGGAAUCACUGUUUUUUGAAAAGAAUAAAAUAAAAGCAAAAAAAAUAACAUUCGGAAAUUGCAUUGGAAGUUGUAUAACUGAAAAUAAUGACGUAUAUAUAUGGGGUUCUUAUGAUAAUGAUGAAAAAAAUGAAAUAGUUUAUGUUAAUCCGAUAAAGUUAAAUAUUAAUGAAAUUUUUACUGAUGUGCAGUUUUCGAACAAUGAUAUAUAUUUAGUGAAUGAAAAUGGAGAAUUAAAAAUUAUAAAAAAUUAUAAUGAAUGUUUGAAAAAUAAAAAGUUUAUAAUUGAAAAAUUUUAUAAAUGUCAAAAUUAUUUUUCUUUCCCAUUUUUUAGGGAAAAAAUAAUAAAGUUAAGUGUAAAUAAAUUCCAUUUAGCUUUUGUUACGAAUAAAGGAAAUAUGUAUUGUUCAGGUAACAAUUUUUAUGGACAAUGUGCAAAAGAACCUUUUCACAAAAACAAUUUAAAUAUAAAUUAUAAUUUUUUAUAUUCAAAUUACUUAAUGAAUUCAUUUAAUAUGAUGAGUAAUGUACAUACGAAAUGGUUGCAAGAGAAUGUAAAAUCAGAAACUGAUUAUGUUGAAGAUACAUAUAUAUCUAAAGAAUAUAAUCUUAAUUCAGAAAAUAACUCAUAUAAUGAAAUGAAUGAAUACAGGGGGAAUGAAACAGAUAAAAGGAAUUAUAACUUAUCCAUUAAUAAUAAUCAUAUGAUAAAAUUUAAUAAAAGUGAUAUACAUAACAACAAUGACACUAUUACAAAUUUGAAUAAUAAAAAUGAUAAUAUGGAAAAAUAUGAUGAUGAUAAAAAAGAUGAAUAUUUUACAAUAAAGAAUGGGACAGAUUUAUUUUAUAAGAAUAAUUAUGUUUUUAUGAAUAAAGUACCAUUUGAAAAAAAAACAAAAAUUGUUGAUGUUUCUUGUGGUUUAAAUCAUACAUUAUGUUUGGAUGAUGAAAAUAAUAUUUACAGUUUUGGAGAUGAUAGUAAAAUACAAUUGGGGUUAGGUGAAAGUAGAACAAAUAAAAAUUCUUUAGCAGGAACAAGGUGGAAAGAUCAGUUAAAACAUGGCUAUUCAAUUAUUACAAAAAAUUUGGCUAACUAUUCUUUUUAUGAUAGGCACAUACAAAGUAGUCCACAGAUAAUUUUAAAAAAAUUAAAUGAUAAAGAAAUAGUAGGUAAUAUAUAUAAAAUUGUUGCUGGUGGAGAAUUUUCUAUAAUAUAUUCAAACGACAAAUUUGGUAAACAACUAUUUUGUUUUGGUGAUAACAUGUAUAAUCAAUGUGGGAGACAUUUAGGAAAACAUCAACAAACAUUAUCUACUGUUAAAUUAUCGAAUCACAAAAUAAAUGAUAUUUCUUGUGGGGAUAGGCAUUGUUUAUUGAAUUUAAAUGAUCAAUUAUAUGGAUGGGGAUAUAACAAUAAAUACCAAAUAACACCUUUUAAAAAUAAAGGAAUUAUAAAUAAUCCAAUAUUUACAUUAUCUACGAAACAUUACCCUAAUAAUGCUCAUAUCAAAUAUGUAAAUGCGGUAUAUAAUAAUUCAGCUAUCAUCAUUACGCAAAAGUGA
This is a long non-coding RNA of Piliocolobus tephrosceles (Ugandan red Colobus), 1725 nucleotides long. The record is from Ensembl. NCBI's taxonomy places the organism in Eukaryota, Metazoa, Chordata, Mammalia, Primates, Cercopithecidae.